RNAcentral lists this small RNA (167 nucleotides) under bovine gut metagenome. RNAcentral's name for it is "Clostridiales-1 RNA". It matches the Rfam family "Clostridiales-1 RNA". The record is from RNAcentral.
UCAAGGUAAUGCAUGGCGUUCAUGCUUGCAUGAUAAGCCAUGCAUUACUUUGACGAAUGAACAAACAUGAGCAAGUAACAGGGGAUGUACGUUUUGUGUACAUCCCCUGUGUAUUGCGAAUGGUUGUAGGAUCGCGGGAGUGCGUAGCACGUAGCGAUCCGCAGUAU